UUCAAGUGCAACCAUAAGUUUUUCGCCCAGUUUUAAUUGUCCGUCUUAUUUGAAAUUUUUUAUAAUUAAUAUUUUUGUUAUUAUGAGAUGAUAAAAUAUGAAUAGUAUUUUACUCGUAAUUUAUGUUUUUAAUUUUUUUUAAAUAAGACAGACAGUUAAAGUUUGACAUGAAAAACCAUGGCUGCAAUGGGU
Molecule: non-coding RNA, 192 nt
Organism: Oryza glaberrima (African rice)
Lineage: Eukaryota; Viridiplantae; Streptophyta; Magnoliopsida; Poales; Poaceae
Source: Rfam